RNAcentral lists this ribosomal RNA (617 nucleotides) under uncultured beta proteobacterium. Its description in RNAcentral is "bacterial SSU rRNA". It matches the Rfam family "Bacterial small subunit ribosomal RNA", at positions 78 to 692 of the family's 1533-position model. Lineage: Bacteria; Pseudomonadati; Pseudomonadota; Betaproteobacteria. The record is from RNAcentral.
CUUCNGAUGCUGACGAGUGGCGAACGGGUGAGUAAUACAUCGGAACGUGCCCGAUCGUGGGGGAUAACGGAGCGAAAGCUUUGCUAAUACCGCAUACGAUCUACGGAUGAAAGCAGGGGACCGCAAGGCCUUGCGCGGACGGAGCGGCCGAUGGCAGAUUAGGUAGUUGGUGGGAUAAAAGCUUACCAAGCCGACGAUCUGUAGCUGGUCUGAGAGGACGACCAGCCACACUGGGACUGAGACACGGCCCAGACUCCUACGGGAGGCAGCAGUGGGGAAUUUUGGACAAUGGGCGCAAGCCUGAUCCAGCCAUGCCGCGUGCAGGAUGAAGGCCUUCGGGUUGUAAACUGCUUUUGUACGGAACGAAAAGACUCCUUCUAAUAAAGGGGGUACAUGACGGUACCGUAAGAAUAAGCACCGGCUAACUACGUGCCAGCAGCCGCGGUAAUACGUAGGGUGCGAGCGUUAAUCGGAAUUACUGGGCGUAAAGCGUGCGCAGGCGGUUAUAUAAGACAGAUGUGAAAUCCCCGGGCUCAACCUGGGAACUGCAUUUGUGACUGUAUAGCUAGAGUACGGCAGAGGGGGAUGGAAUUCCGCGUGUANCANUGAAAUGCGUA